This 254-nucleotide ribosomal RNA is filed under the name uncultured bacterium. RNAcentral describes it as "partial 16S ribosomal RNA". It matches the Rfam family "Bacterial small subunit ribosomal RNA", at positions 524 to 776 of the family's 1533-position model. The record is from RNAcentral.
CACGUAGGGGGCAAGCGUUGUCCGGAUUUAUUGGGCGUAAAGAGCUCGUAGGCGGCUCAGUAAGUCGGGUGUGAAACCUCCAGGCUCAACCUGGAGACGCCACCUGAUACUGCUGUGGCUAGAGUCCGGUAGGGGAGCGUGGAAUUCCUGGUGUAGCGGUGAAAUGCGCAGAUAUCAGGAGGAACACCAGCGGCGAAGGCGGCGCUCUGGGCCGGAACUGACGCUGAGGCGCGAAAGCGUGGGGAGCGAACAGG